Molecule: long non-coding RNA, 2061 nt
Filed under: Equus caballus (horse)
Lineage: Eukaryota; Metazoa; Chordata; Mammalia; Perissodactyla; Equidae
Description: lncRNA (ENSECAG00000050575.1)
Source: RNAcentral
UUGUAAUGAUUUUUUUUAGCGGAAUUAAACUUGAACCAGUCAGGCUAACAUAAUUAAUUAUAUUCUGCUCCAGUUACAAUGAAUGAUUAAUUGAUUUCAACUGCUAGGGUGAAUGCCUGAGCUCUCAGUCAUUCAGCAAUCUUAGCAAGCAGGCUGUUAGAUCCUUCCUUGCUCACUAGUUUUUGUGGAGCUUGCUAACUGUUUAAGGAAAAUGUUUAUUUUCUGUUAAAAUAUGUCAGGGAGAGUGAUCAGGUUAUCCACAUUUAACCUAUGUGUCCCAUAUUAGAAUAUAUGUUAAGUAGCUCAGUACAGUAAACUAGAUUCUGCUCGCUCUUGUUAAAAUCAUAAUGGUCCCCAGAGGUGGAAAUGUAUGUUAAAAAAGGUAUCCUGGAAGUGUUUGAUCUCAGUGUAAAGAAAUUAGAAUAAUUUGAUAUAGUGUAGGUUGUCUUGUAGAAAAAGUGCUUCCAUUCCAUGAGUUUUAGAAAUCAUUUUGGAAAAGUGAAGCCUUUGUAAUUGGUAUUUGGAAGUAUUUGGUAAUACUGAGCAAAUUAAGCAAUAUUAUUCUUCAUUCUAAAUGUAUUUUUUAUUAUUCUUUUCUCCCCUGCCUUUUGGGCGUGGGAUUUAGCCGCCUUUGUAUUUCUAAACACAAAAGGCCAGUUUUUAUUAAUUAAAGUGUCAAUGUACUGUGAUUAAUUUUUCAUUAUUUAGUUUUGUGAUUGUAGUUUUCAUUUCUUAGUAGCACCUCUGAUUAAGAGAAUUAACCUGUUAAUUUUUUCCCUUAUCUCCUGAAAAAUCUUAUCAGAGGCUGUUUGGAAUUCUUUGGCUUCUAUGGUAUGCAUAUUGUUGAUUUGCAUGGACUAGUUACCUCAGUUAUUCAUUCAACAGGUAUUUCUUAAGCACUUGGUUGUGCCAGGGCCUCUGCUAGAUGAUAGGAAUACAGUAGUGAACUUAACAAUGUGCCUGCCCUCCUGAAGCUUACGGUCUGGUAGGUGAGACAAAUAGUAAUCAGAUAAUCAAGUGAAUAUAUGUGCAAUUCCAACCAUGACAAGUGCUAUGAGGGGGAGGCCUUUGGUGAUCCAAGAGCUGGUCAUGCAGGGAUGGGACUGAGAGAGGAGGUGGGACCUCGUCAGGCAGUUCAGGGAACGCUUCCCCAAGAAAGUGGUGCUGGAGCCCAAAUCUGAAGGAUGAAGAGAGGUUAAAUAGGUCAAAUAGGAUUUUAAAUAAUGUCAAAUGGUUAUAUACAGGGCACUGAGAGCUAAUUUUUCUUUGGGGAAAGGUAAUAUUUUUUACUCUCGAUUUUAUCGUAUGUAAACAGAGCCAUUCAGACUCCUUUGUAUAUUUUUUUAAUGGUUUUUCUUUUUUGCUUGGCAUUUUAUUCAUUUACCGAAGAGCUGGCUUGUACUUUGGCAGAUGUCAUACUUGGUUAUUGUUCUUGAGAAUGUUGGCCCAACAAUUUGGGAGUUGUGAAAGGGACUUGGCUUUUCAGACCUUGACCUCUGUAUCAUGACUACCAUAAACUCCGGAUCAGGACAUCUAACCUCCUCCCGUGCUAAGUGAGGUGUCUGUCCCUCUGAUCUCUGCUGUCUGGCUUUCUAUGCAUCCUUCUGAUAUUGCAAAUGCCACAUUGCAAUGGAAUCCUGCCUCAUCUAAGCUGAGCUCUUGAAAGAAUCAUCCAUGCUCAGUGGCUACUUCGAUUCCCCUGCCCUUAUCAACCAACUGCAUUUUGUUCUCACGCUCUCCAGGGACUGCAAUCCAUGCUCUCAGGGAGCUCAUAGUCCAGUGGAAAGAAGGAGACCAGUAAUUAUUAUACAGAAGGAUUUGGGCUGUAAAAUAUACAAAUACCUCGUGGCUAGGAGCUCAGAGGAGAUGCAUAUGUGAGCCAAGAUGACUUCCCAAAGGAGAGAUGCUUGAGCUGAAUUUGGAGUUUUGAUUGCUUUGGCUGCUGUGAUGAGAAUGGACUGCAAGAGAUGGAUGCAGCAGGAAGAGUUAGAAAGUGAUGGAAACAUCCAGGCUCUGUGGAGAGCAGGCAUUGCACUGGGCAGCCUGGCUUCUUGCUUUGCC